AGAUAAGAUUUCCCGUGGGGUAACCCACCUGAAGGCUCGUCGAAGACUACGACGUUGAUAGGCUAGGUGUGGAAGUGUGGUAACACAUGGAGCUAACUAGUACUAAUCAGCCGUGCGGCUUGGUCAU
Molecule: ribosomal RNA, 127 nt
Filed under: Desulfobulbaceae bacterium
Lineage: Bacteria; Pseudomonadati; Thermodesulfobacteriota; Desulfobulbia; Desulfobulbales; Desulfobulbaceae
Description: partial 23S ribosomal RNA
Rfam family: Bacterial large subunit ribosomal RNA
Source: RNAcentral